ACAGAAUCCACCCUUUUCCUUUGGAAUUCCCUCCUUCUCCUGACGCUGACAAUACCCUUGCCCUUCAGAGGACCUGCCUUCCCACUCUCCAUUGGACACUGUGGAACUUCUUGGCGUCCAGUCCCAAGGGCACAGCCACCGCAGGACUUCACGUCUGCCUGCCUGAGCAGGGCUGGUGUCUUAUGAAUGGCAGCUGAGACCCAGUUCAGGCUCACGACCUCAUAUCACAGGUCAGAAAACAAAAAAUGAACUCAAAGGAAAAUGACUAAUCACCGACCUACUCAGAAUCAUUGGUCCCCGGCAAGCAAGGGUGAUCCUGCAUCAAUCUAUUAAUUUUCAUUUCCAGGGUUCUCAGAUGUAAAACAAAUGUUUGAUGUAAUCCGCAACACUGCUCUGUUAUAAUUAAACAACCUCCUACUGCCUAAAUUGGCAAAGCACUCCAUCGAUCAGUGAUAAAUGUGGUCCUUGGGAGACUGCUUUUAUGUUUGUUUCACUCAUGGGAAAAUGGCCACAACCCUUUUGUAAGAUUCCUCGGCUGCUGCUCUCCCCAGGUUACAAUCAUAGUAACUGCUGCUUCUGGGAUGCCUCGCUGUAAUCCUCAUGUUCAAUGAUGGCUCAAUGGAUAUGUGCUUGAAGGAGAGUGAGUGAUGGGGAGUCUACAGUUAUGAAUAAAAUAUAUUCAAGUCAAUAAACCCUUCCUGGGUUCCUUUGCCUCACCAUUUUAUGCACAAUUUAUGAAGCACCCUACACAUACCAGGAGCUAUUUGCAAUGUUUAAGAUGUGGGAGCCCCCAUAAUUCUAAAUAUGUCAUGUAUCAUCUACUUUCCUCUUUGCAAAGUGGAGGGGUUGGAUUCCUGCCAGGCCUGAUAAUAUAGAUCUGCUGUUCACACAUAGCAUAUAGGAGGCCCUGAUGACUUCCUACUCAUCGCUUC
This 932-nucleotide long non-coding RNA is filed under the name Homo sapiens (human). RNAcentral's name for it is "HSALNT0037192". The record is from RNAcentral. Lineage: Eukaryota; Metazoa; Chordata; Mammalia; Primates; Hominidae.